RNAcentral lists this ribosomal RNA (494 nucleotides) under uncultured bacterium. RNAcentral's name for it is "bacterial SSU rRNA". It matches the Rfam family "Bacterial small subunit ribosomal RNA", at positions 113 to 642 of the family's 1533-position model. The record is from RNAcentral.
ACGCGUAAGAAUCUGCCCCUCAGUCGGGGACAACCCUUGGAAACGAGGGCUAAUACCCGAUAUGCUGUGGAGUGAAAGAAUUUCGCUGAGGGAUGAUCUUGCGUCUGAUUAGCUAGUUGGUGUGGUAAUGGCACACCAAGGCGACGAUCAGUAGCUGGUCUGAGAGGAUGAACAGCCACAUUGGAACUGAGACACGGUCCAAACUCCUACGGGAGGCAGCAGUGGGGAAUUUUCCGCAAUGGACGAAAGUCUGACGGAGCGACGCUGCGUGAAGGAUGACGGCCUGCGGGUUGUAAACUUCUUUUCUCGAAGAAGAAGCUCUGACGGUAUUCGAGGAAUAAGCAUCGGCUAACUCCGUGCCAGCAGCCGCGGUAAGACGGAGGAUGCAAGUGUUAUUCGGAAUGAUUGGGCGUAAAGAGUCUGUAGGCUGUAUGGAAAGUCUUUUGUUAAAUGCCUCGGCUCAACCGAGAUCCAGCAAAGGAAACUUCUAUACU